UACGAAGGGUGCAAACGUUGCUCGGAAUUAUUGGGCGUAAAGCGCACGUAGGCGGCAUUGCAAGUCCCAUGUGAAAGCCCACGGCUUAACCGUGGAAGUGCAUGGGAAACUGCAGUGCUUGAGUACUUAAGAGGAUCGCGGAAUUCCCGGUGUAGAGGUGAAAUUCGUAGAUAUCGGGAGGAACACCAGUGGCGAAGGCGGCGAUCUGGGAAGAUACUGACGCUGAGGUGCGAAAGCGUGGGAGCAACAGG
RNAcentral lists this ribosomal RNA (251 nucleotides) under uncultured bacterium. RNAcentral's name for it is "partial 16S ribosomal RNA". It matches the Rfam family "Bacterial small subunit ribosomal RNA", at positions 524 to 776 of the family's 1533-position model. The record is from RNAcentral.